AACGAACGCUGGCGGCAUGCCUAACACAUGCAAGUCGAACGAGACCCUCGGGUCUAGUGGCGCACGGGUGCGUAACGCGUGGGAAUCUGCCCUUGGGUUCGGAAUAACAGUUGGAAACGACUGCUAAUACCGGAUGAUGACGUAAGUCCAAAGAUUUAUCGCCCAAGGAUGAGCCCGCGUAGGAUUAGCUAGUUGGUGAGGUAAAGGCUCACCAAGGCGACGAUCCUUAGCUGGUCUGAGAGGAUGAUCAGCCACACUGGGACUGAGACACGGCCCAGACUCCUACGGGAGGCAGCAGUGGGGAAUAUUGGACAAUGGGCGAAAGCCUGAUCCAGCAAUGCCGCGUGAGUGAUGAAGGCCUUAGGGUUGUAAAGCUCUUUUACCCGGGAUGAUAAUGACAGUACCGGGAGAAUAAGCUCCGGCUAACUCCGUG
Molecule: ribosomal RNA, 433 nt
Filed under: uncultured bacterium
Lineage: Bacteria
Description: partial 16S ribosomal RNA
Rfam family: Bacterial small subunit ribosomal RNA
Source: RNAcentral